RNAcentral lists this ribosomal RNA (474 nucleotides) under soil bacterium 6V-07. RNAcentral describes it as "bacterial SSU rRNA". It matches the Rfam family "Bacterial small subunit ribosomal RNA", at positions 27 to 484 of the family's 1533-position model. The record is from RNAcentral.
GGAUGAACGCUGGCGGCGUGCCUAAUACAUGCAAGUCGAGCGAACUGAUUAGAAGCUUGCUUCUAUGACGUUAGCGGCGGACGGGUGAGUAACACGUGGGCAACCUGCCUGUAAGACUGGGAUAACUUCGGGAAACCGAAGCUAAUACCGGAUAGGAUCUUCUCCUUCAUGGGAGAUGAUUGAAAGAUGGUUUCGGCUAUCACUUACAGAUGGGCCCGCGGUGCAUUAGCUAGUUGGUGAGGUAACGGCUCACCAAGGCAACGAUGCAUAGCCGACCUGAGAGGGUGAUCGGCCACACUGGGACUGAGACACGGCCCAGACUCCUACGGGAGGCAGCAGUAGGGAAUCUUCCGCAAUGGACGAAAGUCUGACAAGCAACGCCGCGUGAGUGAUGAAGGCUUUCGGGUCGUAAAACUCUGUUGUUAGGGAAGAACAAGUACAAGAGUAACUGCUUGUACCUGACGGUACCUAACC